This 468-nucleotide ribosomal RNA is filed under the name uncultured bacterium. Its description in RNAcentral is "partial 16S ribosomal RNA". It matches the Rfam family "Bacterial small subunit ribosomal RNA", at positions 28 to 507 of the family's 1533-position model. The record is from RNAcentral.
GACGAACGCUGGCGGCGUGCUUAACACAUGCAAGUCGAACGGAAAGGCCCUGCUUUUGUGGGGUGCUCGAGUGGCGAACGGGUGAGUAACACGUGAGUAACCUGCCCUUGACUUUGGGAUAACUUCAGGAAACUGGGGCCAAUACCGGAUAGGAGCUCCUGCUGCAUGGUGGGGGUUGGAAAGUUUCGGCGGUAGGGGAUGGACUCGCGGCUUAUCAGCUUGUUGGUGGGGUAUUGGCUUACCACGGCUUUGACGGGUAGCCGGCCUGAGAGGGGGACCGGCCACAUUGGGACUGAGAUACGGCCCAGACUCCUACGGGAGGCAGCAGUGGGGAAUAUUGCACAAUGGGCGGAAGCCUGAUGCAGCAGCGCCGCGUGCGUGAUGACGGCCUUCGGGUUGUAAACCGCUUUCGCCUGUGACGAAGCGUGAGUGACGGUAAUGGGUAAAGAAGCACCGGCUAACUACGUG